This 1372-nucleotide ribosomal RNA is filed under the name uncultured bacterium. RNAcentral describes it as "bacterial SSU rRNA". It matches the Rfam family "Bacterial small subunit ribosomal RNA", at positions 28 to 1381 of the family's 1533-position model. The record is from RNAcentral.
GAUGAACGCUGGCGGCGUGCCUAAUACAUGCAAGUCGAGCGAACAGACGAGGAACUUGCUCCUCUGACGUUAGCGGCGGACGGGUGAGUAACACGUGGAUAACCUACCUAUAAGACUGGGAUAACUUCGGGAAACCGGAGCUAAUACCGGAUAACAUGUUGAACCGCAUGGUUCAACAGUGAAAGACGGUCUUGCUGUCACUUAUAGAUGGAUCCGCGCCGCAUUAGCUAGUUGGUAAGGUAACGGCUUACCAAGGCAACGAUGCGUAGCCGACCUGAGAGGGUGAUCGGCCACACUGGAACUGAGACACGGUCCAGACUCCUACGGGAGGCAGCAGUAGGGAAUCUUCCGCAAUGGGCGAAAGCCUGACGGAGCAACGCCGCGUGAGUGAAGAAGGUCUUCGGAUCGUAAAACUCUGUUAUUAGGGAAGAACAAAUGUGUAAGUAACUAUGCACGUCUUGACGGUACCUAAUCAGAAAGCCACGGCUAACUACGUGCCAGCAGCCGCGGUAAUACGUAGGUGGCAAGCGUUAUCCGGAAUUAUUGGGCGUAAAGCGCGCGUAGGCGGUUUUUUAAGUCUGAUGUGAAAGCCCACGGCUCAACCGUGGAGGGUCAUUGGAAACUGGAAAACUUGAGUGCAGAAGAGGAAAGUGGAAUUCCAUGUGUAGCGGUGAAAUGCGCAGAGAUAUGGAGGAACACCAGUGGCGAAGGCGACUUUCUGGUCUGUAACUGACGCUGAUGUGCGAAAGCGUGGGGAUCAAACAGGAUUAGAUACCCUGGUAGUCCACGCCGUAAACGAUGAGUGCUAAGUGUUAGGGGGUUUCCGCCCCUUAGUGCUGCAGCUAACGCAUUAAGCACUCCGCCUGGGGAGUACGACCGCAAGGUUGAAACUCAAAGGAAUUGACGGGGACCCGCACAAGCGGUGGAGCAUGUGGUUUAAUUCGAAGCAACGCGAAGAACCUUACCAAAUCUUGACAUCCUCUGACCCCUCUAGAGAUAGAGUUUUCCCCUUCGGGGGACAGAGUGACAGGUGGUGCAUGGUUGUCGUCAGCUCGUGUCGUGAGAUGUUGGGUUAAGUCCCGCAACGAGCGCAACCCUUAAGCUUAGUUGCCAUCAUUAAGUUGGGCACUCUAAGUUGACUGCCGGUGACAAACCGGAGGAAGGUGGGGAUGACGUCAAAUCAUCAUGCCCCUUAUGAUUUGGGCUACACACGUGCUACAAUGGACAAUACAAAGGGCAGCGAAACCGCGAGGUCAAGCAAAUCCCAUAAAGUUGUUCUCAGUUCGGAUUGUAGUCUGCAACUCGACUACAUGAAGCUGGAAUCGCUAGUAAUCGUAGAUCAGCAUGCUACGGUGAAUACGUUCCCGGGUCU